CAGAAUGUAGUUUAAUAAAAAUAAAGGCUUUGGGAGCGUUAGAUAGAAAUAAUGUUUCUUUUUCUGA
Molecule: transfer RNA, 67 nt
Filed under: Ceratophysella communis
Lineage: Eukaryota; Metazoa; Arthropoda; Collembola; Poduromorpha; Hypogastruridae
Description: tRNA-Pro
Source: RNAcentral